This 497-nucleotide ribosomal RNA is filed under the name uncultured bacterium. RNAcentral's name for it is "partial 16S ribosomal RNA". It matches the Rfam family "Bacterial small subunit ribosomal RNA", at positions 28 to 507 of the family's 1533-position model. The record is from RNAcentral.
GAUGAACGCUGGCGGCGUACCUAAUACAUGCAAGUCGAGCGAACAGACGAGGAGCUUGCUCCUCUGACGUUAGCGGCGGACGGGUGAGUAACACGUGGAUAACCUACCUAUAAGACUGGGAUAACUUCGGGAAACCGGAGCUAAUACCGGAUCAUAUAUUGAACCGCAUGGUUCAAUAGUGAAAGACGGUUUUGCUGUCACUUAUAGAUGGAUCCGCGCCGCAUUAGCUAGUUGGUAAGGUAACGGCUUACCAAGGCGACGAUGCGUAGCCGACCUGAGAGGGUGAUCGGCCACACUGGAACUGAGACACGGUCCAGACUCCUACGGGAGGCAGCAGUAGGGAAUCUUCCGCAAUGGGCGAAAGCCUGACGGAGCAACGCCGCGUGAGUGAUGAAGGUCUUCAGAUCGUAAAACUCUGUUAUUAGGGAAGAAAAAAUGUGUAAGUAACUAUGCACGUCUUGACGGUACCUAAUCAGAAAGCCACGGCUAACUACGUG